GGGAAAGACAACGUUGUCUGACGCAGGCACUGCGAACAACUGAUUCUUUCUUGCUCCAGUGAUGUCCAUGUCGGCCACUUAAUACAAAGCAUUUCUGAACA
Austrofundulus limnaeus is the source of this 101-nucleotide long non-coding RNA. RefSeq lists it as uncharacterized. The transcript has 3 exons. The record is from RefSeq and is a predicted model, not a curated record. NCBI's taxonomy places the organism in Eukaryota, Metazoa, Chordata, Actinopteri, Cyprinodontiformes, Rivulidae.